Molecule: ribosomal RNA, 253 nt
Filed under: uncultured bacterium
Lineage: Bacteria
Description: partial 16S ribosomal RNA
Rfam family: Bacterial small subunit ribosomal RNA
Source: RNAcentral
UACGUAGGGUGCGAGCGUUAAUCGGAAUUACUGGGCGUAAAGCGUGCGCAGGCGGUUCGUUGUGUCGGUGGUGAAAUCCCCGGGCUUAACCUGGGAAUGGCCAUGGAAACUGGCGAACUGGAGUGCGGCAGAGGGGGGUGGAAUUCCGCGUGUAGCAGUGAAAUGCGUAGAGAUGCGGAGGAACACCAGUGGCGAAGGCGGCGACCUGGACCUGUGCUGACGCUGAUGCGCGAAAGCGUGGGGAGCGAUCCGG